GGACCCGCACAAGUAGUGGAGCAUGUGGUUUAAUUCGAAGAUACGCGCAGAACCUUACCAACACUUGACAUGUUCGUCGCGACUCUAAGAGAUUAGAGUUUUCGGUUCGGCCGGACGAAACACAGGUGCUGCAUGGCUGUCGUCAGCUCGUGUCGUGAGAUGUUGGGUUAAGUCCCGCAACGAGCGCAACCCUCACUUUUAGUUGCCAUCAUUAAGUUGGGCACUCUGAAAGAACUGCCAGUGAUAAGCUGGAGGAAGGUGGGGAUGACGUCAAGUCCUCAUGGCCCUUACGUGUUGGGCUACACACGUGCUACAAUGCUACGGACAAAGGGCAGCAAGUUCGCGAGGAC
RNAcentral lists this ribosomal RNA (350 nucleotides) under uncultured bacterium. Its description in RNAcentral is "bacterial SSU rRNA". It matches the Rfam family "Bacterial small subunit ribosomal RNA", at positions 917 to 1264 of the family's 1533-position model. The record is from RNAcentral.